Molecule: ribosomal RNA, 465 nt
Filed under: uncultured bacterium
Lineage: Bacteria
Description: partial 16S ribosomal RNA
Rfam family: Bacterial small subunit ribosomal RNA
Source: RNAcentral
GACGAACGCUGGCGGCGUGCUUAACACAUGCAAGUCGAACGGAAACGCCCUGCUUGCAGGGUACUCGAGUGGCGAACGGGUGAGUAACACGUGGGUGAUCUGCCCUUCACUUCGGGAUAAGCCUGGGAAACUGGGUCUAAUACCGGAUAGGAGCCAUUUUUAGUGUGAUGGUUGGAAAGUUUUUUGGGUGUAGGAUCAGCUCGCGGCCUAUCAGCUUGUUGGUGGGGUAAUGGCCUACCAAGGCGGCGACGGGUAGCCGGCCGGGGAGGGUGGGCGGCCACAUUGGGACUGAGAACAGGCGCAGAAACCUGCGGUGGGCAGCAGUGGGGGAGAUUGCCGAGGGGGCGCAAGCCGGGUGCAGCGAGGCCGCGCGGGGGAUGACUGAGUUCGGGUUGUAAACUCCUUUCGCGAGGGAGGAAGCAUGUCGUGCCGGCACCUAAAUAAGAGGCACCGGCGGACAAAGUC